This 408-nucleotide ribosomal RNA is filed under the name Triticum aestivum (bread wheat). RNAcentral's name for it is "partial small subunit ribosomal RNA". The record is from RNAcentral. Lineage: Eukaryota; Viridiplantae; Streptophyta; Magnoliopsida; Poales; Poaceae.
AUGAAGUUAGCCAGCAGCCAACAGACCAGCUUAAUUUUACCUGUCAAAUUUAGGCCACAGAUAAAUCGCUCGGUCGCUCCCCGUCGAUCCCUGCGCGUCCUCCACAUCAAAUUAGCAGCAGCAAUAACAACAACAUCACUCAACAAACAACAGGGAAGCAGCAGUAUGGUGCAGCUAACAGCAGCACAUCAGCAGCGCACAUAUAGAGCAGCCGUCCCUCUCUCCUCCCCUGCCGUCCCCACACCAGCCGGUCCUCGUCCGGUCAUCCCCGUCCAUCUCCUCUGGCGAGCCCACACCAUGCCCUCCCGACCAGCGCCUCCGUUGAUCUGCGCCAAAGCCGCUCACUUCUGUGACCGUGUGCUGCCCACUUCCCAUACCAGGAUGCUUUGUGGGGAUGGGAGGCCGUGA